GCCUUCGGGGUGUAGUGGUCAGCACACUCGGCGCCUAUUCCAGAGGUUCGUGGUUCGAAUCCCGGCGAGAGCA
Molecule: transfer RNA, 73 nt
Filed under: Stegodyphus mimosarum
Lineage: Eukaryota; Metazoa; Arthropoda; Arachnida; Araneae; Eresidae
Rfam family: tRNA
About the family: Transfer RNA (tRNA) molecules are approximately 80 nucleotides in length. Their secondary structure includes four short double-helical elements and three loops (D, anti-codon, and T loops). Further hydrogen bonds mediate the characteristic L-shaped molecular structure. tRNAs have two regions of fundamental functional importance: the anti-codon, which is responsible for specific mRNA codon recognition, and the 3' end, to which the tRNAs corresponding amino acid is attached (by aminoacyl-tRNA synthetases). tRNAs cope with the degeneracy of the genetic code in two manners: having more than one tRNA (with a specific anti-codon) for a particular amino acid; and 'wobble' base-pairing, i.e. permitting non-standard base-pairing at the 3rd anti-codon position.
Source: Rfam by way of RNAcentral